Molecule: long non-coding RNA, 3757 nt
Organism: Megalopta genalis
Lineage: Eukaryota; Metazoa; Arthropoda; Insecta; Hymenoptera; Halictidae
Source: RefSeq, a predicted model, not a curated record
ACGGAGAGAACGCGUUCAAGCUGACCGGUUUUUUAUCGGCCAAAGGUGGCGUGUCGAACGCGAUAAGGACGCGCGCGCGAGAACGCGUCGGCGUGUAAAUGCGAGAGCGUGUACCGCGGUACCCACACGUGAACGAAACCGAUUUGUAAAAGGGCAACGGCCUCGUAUGGCCCCGCCGAGUUCAUUUCCCCGUUCCUCUGUCUCUCACAGUCGCCGGCCUAUUACCGUAACCUUGCCCUUGCUCUCGCAUUUCCGCCACGCUCGAACGUUCCUCGAACCCGUCGUCGUCUUCCUGGUUCGGGCGGCGCCUCCCUACUCCCGGCUCGACGAACGUAAUAGAAAACCGAUGAACUUGAACCGAUUCGCACCGCAAAAAAAACCGCAGAGAUCGUUGUUCAUUUUUAUAUAAAAAUUUUAUUUAUAGUCCGUCGCAGAAGGCUAUGUUAUUCGAAGGAAAGGAAAGAAACAUGUUCACAUUUUACCAGAAUCCAUUUCUCUAGUCUACAAUACGAAAGAGCAACGCCGCGUGUGACAUAAAUAAUGAAAGUGUGAAAAUGAGUCGCCCACCAGUGCAGAAACUUUGAGCGGUCGUAAUUAGCGUUCAAUUGUCAUUCUAUGAUCUAACAGCACCAUUUUAUAUACUCAGUACACCAGGCUGGUCGAGACGUACGCGUACCGCUGACCUUGACGUAGGCGUCGCCGUAGCGGUACAUGUUUACAAAACACGGAGAGCUCGACGAUUAUAUCUACCACCAGAGAAUCGUGCGAUCAAGAAGAGAAAACGAGAGGGACGUGAACCGAAGAUCUCAAUAAAAAUCUUUGUCCUCCUGGCAAGUGCCGGACUUGUCCCUGUAUCUGCCUGGCCCGCAGUUCUCGACGCCGUCGCCGAGCAACACCAGCUCGUCGCGUUUAUUGCUCAGCUCGUUUCGUUCGUCGGACAAGCCUGACGGUUCCUCUUCUUCCUUUGUGGACAACUGUUUCUUCAGCGAGAUCCCGGGCCUGGCCGCUUCGGUCGCCUCCUCCUUCGCCGCGAGAUCGUCGGCCUGCGCGAGGUCGUCCACCAUUGAACCCACGCGGACCUUCUUGCUCCGCGGACCGUCGAUCAAUUCACGGCUCUUCUGGUUCCUGGGCCCCGUCUUCGACGCCUUGACGCCGACGGAUAUCUCCGGACCGUCCUUCUGGGCCUUCGGCGACUCUUUCGCCGUGCCGGUCACCUCGUCCUCAGUUACCGCCGCGGUAACAUCGUCUUUCUGUAUGCGGACUAUCUCCACGUGGUAGGGCUCCCUGCCCUCCUCCCUUUCCUCGGUCUCGUGUACCAUGGCCUCCGACGGUUUCUCGGGCGCCUCAUGUUUUAUGACGUUGCUUCUGCCGAUCAACGCCAGCGAGCCCAGGUCCGUCGCCACCUCGCUUGUCAACUUAUUCAGCCAAGAUUUGUCUAUCGAAUCCAACACCAGGAUUACGAAGUUAUCCCAUUUCGUGUCCACGUUCACAUCGCCGUUCUGCCGUUGGUUGUAGCUAGCUGGCGCUGCCUCUAUGCCGGCCAACGAUCCGCUCAGUACGCCUGCAAAGAUAUGUAAACAAUAACCUAGAAUCGGGCAUUGUUUGCAGUUUCUAUAUGACAACUUAUUUAGCCGAAUGUUAUUGGUGAAAUUAUUCUACGUUAACCGAGUUGCAUAGAUAAAUGAUUCUCUUCUUAAUUGUUUUAUUAUUUCUUGAUUUAGCUAAGACCAAUAUAACAUUGGCAUUGUUUCCGAUUUGCUCAAUCUAUUUAGUUCUCAAUUUUAUGCAGGCACGAAGGAGACGUCAAGGUCGACGGGGUUGAAGAAGAUGGCGAAACCAGAAAACGCGGAGAAAAUUAUGACAACGGCGUACCUGACAGCAUGAAGAAGACGCCAAGGUCGACGGAGUUGAAGAAGAUGGCGAAACCAGAAAACGCGGAGAAAAUUAUGACAACGGCGUACCUGACAGUAAGAGCAAGCUUGCUAGGGGCACCAUUUCGCCGUAGCUUCCCGGAUCAGCUCGGAUCGGCUGAGCUGAGCGAAGUCAGAUCCUCGACUGUGGGAGAUCCGUCGUCCGCUUCCUUGGCGGCCGCGGAUCGCCACGUAUAUGGAUCGAGGGAGCAUCACUCUGCUGGAGAGGGUAACAAGGCUCGCGUGGUCGCCGAUUGACUUAGCCGGUUAACGAGUCCCAUCCACCAAGACGGGUUACGUAAUUGCCCGAUAUUUUUAUCCGUUUUCUUGCUAGCGCAAGGAUGAGAAAGGGUCGCCGCCGUCUAUUUUUCCCAGGAUCUCGGAACUGUCGCCUCGUCGAUUCACGGACCCUCUGAACGAAACUCGAGAAAUCACUACCCAGCGAUUAGAUAACAACUUGGAGACUCGAGAUUAGCUCUUGUCUGUCGACAGACUACCACGAUAAAGAUCCAGAAGUUGCGCACGGUAUAAUGGAGGAUCAAGAAGGAAACACAGAGCGUAAUAGAAUAUGUCAGAGAAAAGUUUAUUGCACCGUCCCUACAAGUUUGCAAGACAUGCCGUUUGCCCGCCUUAUUUACAAUGAUAACGUUUCACCGCGGGACUAUGCACGUGUGUGCAAAGCAUAUGGGAGCAUCGAGCAUACGCAUGGUUUGAGCGAACGAGGAACAUGAGCUCGUCCGUAGAAAUUGCGCGCGGUUCCUGCCGAAUAUUCGUGGCACGUUCCAGUCCGAUCGGCAUCCUAUGACGGCACAUGCUUCCCACUGCGCACCAGGCUGUCCAGAAGUUUCGGCACAAGCUUCAUUGCGAUUCUGGGGAACAGAGAGUGCAAAUGAAAAUCAUCAUGGCCAUUGCUCCGACAAAUGAAACAGUCGAUUCUACCCAUGCCCAAAGGAACAGAAUGAAUUAUGUAGUCGGUACUCACGGUAUUAGAGACAGUCGCUGGUUUCUCAUCUGAUUGCAACGACGUUCCGCAUCGUGCGAGAGACCGGAUCGGCACCGCUUCUUCAUUCUGGUUGGGCUCGCUUGAGAAGAGGAUUCCGAACGUUCCUCGUCCACAGAUGUAUUUCCGGGCUUCGUGGUCUCGUCGACAGAGUUCUCCAUCUUUUCGGUAGCCGCUUCGGUACUCGUCGUGGAAGAUUCGCUCGCAUCUUCGUCAGCGGUGGAGUUCGACACUGAAGCCUCGUUAGGAAGACCCGAGUUCUGAGCAGAAUCGAGCGGCUCUAUGACCUCAGGUUUCGCAGUGGUUUCCGAGGGCGAAGCAGCUGUCGAAGUCUCCGGGGGCUUGGUCGGCUGCGAGCUUGUCGGCUUCACCGUGAAGUCGGCGUAAUCGUAAAAGUAGUCGUACUCCUGUAAGCCGUUGAUAGAAGACAAGAAUCGUAAACGUGGAAACGAAAAUUACCGUUUCUUUCUAUUCUUCGAAAUCAAUGGAUAGCGUUACCGCUAUGCAAUCUCGGAGAAUUUAAAUAAACGAUGCGGCCCCUGCUAGCUGCAAUCCGAGCGACACGAGAGUCUAAACGGUCGGGCGCAGCGUCGAAGCCCCGCGAAAUAUUUAGCCGCAAUUUUCUCGAUAUAAUUUGCCCUUAGCGCAAAGUCGACGAUACAUAGUCACGAAUAAACAAAGGCUGCGCAAAAAUUGACACGAGGAAACGGAUGGAAGUCGACGGUUCGAAGACGAAGCACGCUGGAACGAAGAGGAAGCGAAAGGAGGGCAAUCAAAUGGAAAGAACAUCGCUGUCGCUACCCGGCCACCGAGCAGAGAAAACGAACUGAAACGAUAAUAGUUUACG